Long non-coding RNA from Hordeum vulgare subsp. vulgare (domesticated barley), 1056 nucleotides. RefSeq lists it as uncharacterized. NCBI's taxonomy places the organism in Eukaryota, Viridiplantae, Streptophyta, Magnoliopsida, Poales, Poaceae. The record is from RefSeq and is a predicted model, not a curated record. The transcript is spliced from 2 exons.
AAACCGCUUAUUCCCCCCUUCCCUUUCUCUCUCUUCCUCCUCCUUUCCUUGAGAGCUCCCAGGUUUCUCAUGGCUCCCCUCUCCUCUUCCUCCGGCGGUGCUGUUGCCUGAAGUGGGGAUGAGUGGGCAGUUCGGGCUGCUCAUCAAGAUGCCAUUGGGUGUUCAGCCAUGGUUGCUGGCGAGCAGCGCCUGGUGGUUGUCGGCGUCUCCAUCCCCAGUUCCUUCAUCGUGAAGGCAAGGAUAUGGUGGCACACUUGGUGGCAGCCCAUACCUGAAUAAGCUCGUGGUAGCGACGAGCAUGUAGAUGGUCAGUUCUUCUUCCUAGUUCCUGCUCGUGGAGGUAGCGGUGAGAAGCGUGGGGGAAGAUCUAGCGGUUACAUUUGUUCGCGUUGCCUCUCCUCGUUGGAUCCUAGGUUUCCACGAGGUUGGAGUCGCUCGCUGAUCAAGAUAACGGAAUCUUUGUCUUCGGUUGUGGUGUACGUGCUCAAGAUGGAAGACCAAGCAACCAAGACCUGGAGAUGAUGCAUGGGUCCUGAGCUUCACCGACAGGGGAUAUGGAAGGGGAACAACGCCUAUAGGCUGUCGGCCUUCUCCAACGAACUGCCUUACAUUUUGGUCUAAUGCCGACCAUGUUUCUUCCUCCCGACCAUGUCGCCAAAGGCGAGGCAGUGUAGUUCCAGAGUGGAGUGUGUGGCAUGUUGUGGUGGAGGUCUCGCCGAACCAAGUGAUCCUAUCCCCGGCGUCGACGGGAUUGUUCUACCUGGGAGCAGCUUGGACCGGAUUGUGUUUCUUAUUUCCAUGUUGGGGUCCUCUUUGUACGUUUUAGAGACAUGUGUGUACCUUUUAGUUUUCUUGGGGUCGUUCUGUAAGAUGCACUGUCACGCUGCUUUGACUUCAUGCGGUGUUGGGUCCUUCUGGACCCUUCUCUUGUUAAAAAAAAUAUUAGUCGGUGCAGCUAUAGCAGAUUCAUGUAAAAAAAGGUGCACCUAUCAUCUUGUAAUUAUUUGUCUCUGUGAACAUUGAACACGUGGCAACACCGAACAAUAAGCAGUCGAA